Molecule: long non-coding RNA, 260 nt
Organism: Oncorhynchus gorbuscha (pink salmon)
Lineage: Eukaryota; Metazoa; Chordata; Actinopteri; Salmoniformes; Salmonidae
Exons: 3
Source: RefSeq, a predicted model, not a curated record
GUGUAGGUGGAACCAGAUUACCUUACAGUUUUUCCCCUCGAAAUCAACGGAAAUCAACGGAGUACUCUAUUUAAAAAGGUCACCAUCUUCUACUAGCACUUUUGUGAGCAACAAUACCGAGAGCUUCCAAAGGCAGGUCAACAGAAACUGAGGCAUAAGCCAUCGGAGCAACUAGAGAUAAAAUAUUUUUAUCCACAGCAAGAGAACAGAGAAUUGACAAGAGCAGCAGUUCCCUUCCACAACCAGCAGAGAUCAGCAAU